CCUACGGGAGGCUGCAGUGGGGAAUAUUGGACAAUGGGCGAAAGCCUGAUCCAGCCAUGCCGCGUGUGUGAAGAAGGCCUUCGGGUUGUAAAGCACUUUCAGUGGGGAAGAAAGCCUUGGGGCUAAUACCCUCGAGGAAGGACAUCACCCACAGAAGAAGCACCGGCUAACUCCGUGCCAGCAGCCGCGGUAAUACGGAGGGUGCGAGCGUUAAUCGGAAUUACUGGGCGUAAAGCGCGCGUAGGCGGUCUGAUAAGCCGGUUGUGAAAGCCCCGGGCUCAACCUGGGAAUGGCAUCCGGAACUGUCAGGCUAGAGUGCAGGAGAGGAAGGUAGAAUUCCCGGUGUAGCGGUGAAAUGCGUAGAGAUCGGGAGGAAUACCAGUGGCGAAGGCGGCCUUCUGGACUGACACUGACGCUGAGGUGCGAAAGCGUGGGUAGCAAACAGGAUUAGAUACCCUAGUAGUC
RNAcentral lists this ribosomal RNA (465 nucleotides) under Vreelandella stevensii. Its description in RNAcentral is "partial 16S ribosomal RNA". It matches the Rfam family "Bacterial small subunit ribosomal RNA", at positions 338 to 795 of the family's 1533-position model. The record is from RNAcentral. Lineage: Bacteria; Pseudomonadati; Pseudomonadota; Gammaproteobacteria; Oceanospirillales; Halomonadaceae.